RNAcentral lists this unclassified non-coding RNA (290 nucleotides) under Hevea brasiliensis (rubber tree). The record is from RNAcentral. Lineage: Eukaryota; Viridiplantae; Streptophyta; Magnoliopsida; Malpighiales; Euphorbiaceae.
UCAGGAGGAACGUGGAUGUGGUUCCCCCUAAGAAAGAGGAAGAAAAUAAAGGAGGCGGCGAGAAGAAAGAAGAAGCCAAGGCCAAGAAGAAAGAAGAAACUAAAGCUGAGAAGAAAGGAGACGGUGGCAAGGAGGAGGCGGCGGCUAGUGGUAGUGGAGCUAAGGUGGAGGUGAGCAAGAUGGAGUACUACCCAGCACCGGCACCCACUCACUGGUUCGAUGGAAUGUUUGGUCACAGUUACACAGUGGAGCCCCAACACGGGUACUACCCGGUGAAUCAAGGGUACCCG